RNAcentral lists this ribosomal RNA (253 nucleotides) under uncultured bacterium. RNAcentral describes it as "partial 16S ribosomal RNA". It matches the Rfam family "Bacterial small subunit ribosomal RNA", at positions 524 to 776 of the family's 1533-position model. The record is from RNAcentral.
UACGUAGGGUGCAAGCGUUGUCCGGAAUUAUUGGGCGUAAAGAGCUCGUAGGCGGUUUGUCGCGUCUGCUGUGAAAACUGGAGGCUCAACCUCCAGCCUGCAGUGGGUACGGGCAAACUAGAGUGCGGUAGGGGAGAUUGGAAUUCCUGGUGUAGCGGUGGAAUGCGCAGAUAUCAGGAGGAACACCGGUGGCGAAGGCGGGUCUCUGGGCCGUAACUGACGCUGAGGAGCGAAAGCGUGGGGAGCGAACAGG